CCUACGGGGGGCAGCAGUCGAGAAUCAUUCACAAUGGGGGAAACCCUGAUGGUGCGACGCCGCGUGGGGGAAUGAAGGUCUUCGGAUUGUAAACCCCUGUCAUGUGGGAGCAAAUUAAAAAGAUAGUACCACAAGAGGAAGAGACGGCUAACUCGGUGCCAGCAGCCGCGGUAAUACAGGGGUCUCAAGCGUUGUUGGGAAUCACUGGGCGUAAGGCGUGCGUAGGCUGUUUGGUAAGUCGUGUGUGAAAGGCGCGGGCUCAACCCGCGGACGGCACAUGAUACUGCGAGACUAGAGUAAUGGAGGGGGAACCGGAAUUCUCGGUGUAGCAGUGAAAUGCGUAGAUAUCGGGAGGAACACUCGUGGCGAAGGCGGGUUCCUGGACAUUAACUGACGCUGGGGCACGAAGGCCAGGGGAGCGAAAGGGAUUAGAUACCCAGUAGUC
This 445-nucleotide ribosomal RNA is filed under the name uncultured bacterium. RNAcentral's name for it is "partial 16S ribosomal RNA". It matches the Rfam family "Bacterial small subunit ribosomal RNA", at positions 338 to 795 of the family's 1533-position model. The record is from RNAcentral.